CUCAAUCUUGGGUGAAUUACUCUCCACUACUGAGAGGAGUUCCUUCUGAGUAUCCUGUUCAGUGACCCAGGAAUUUUGAGGUUUUCCAAUCUGCCUGAUAUGAAUGAGAGAACAUGUAGCCUAUUUUCGACUACUGGACAACUUACCUACAAGAUGAAGCCAACAAUGUUGUUAGCACAGAAAGACAAAAUAAAACCUGGAUCCUUGAUCAUAUUACUAAACUGCUGGAUCAAUGAAUUCUGAUACACGCUGCCAAGCAUGUGGGCCAAUAAAUGUACUCAUUGUUGAAGCCAGUUUGAUUUAGAUUGUCUGUUAUUUACG
RNAcentral lists this long non-coding RNA (321 nucleotides) under Homo sapiens (human). RNAcentral's name for it is "HSALNT0017378". Lineage: Eukaryota; Metazoa; Chordata; Mammalia; Primates; Hominidae. The record is from RNAcentral.